GGAGAGGUGCAAGAGCGGUUUAAUUGGCUAGUUUCGAAAACUAUGCGUUGCGAAAGUGACACGGGGGUUCGAAUCCCCCCCUCUCCGCCA
This 90-nucleotide transfer RNA is filed under the name Patescibacteria group bacterium. Its description in RNAcentral is "tRNA-Ser". It matches the Rfam family "tRNA". From Rfam's summary of the family: Transfer RNA (tRNA) molecules are approximately 80 nucleotides in length. Their secondary structure includes four short double-helical elements and three loops (D, anti-codon, and T loops). The record is from RNAcentral.